CAACAGUGACACCCAGAAGGAAGGAGGCUUCAAUGUCUUGCACACUUUGGGUUUCGUAUCAGGCACUUGAACUGUUGGACAGACGCCAUUCUGAACCAAAAAGGACCUUUCCUGUCUGUAUUUGCCCCUGUGGGCCUGGCAUAGGGCUGGAGUCAGAGUGGAGAUCUGCAACGUGCCUCCUGCUACAAACCAAAAGCAAAAGCACUAAAGGCUUCAGGAGAAAAAGGCUGGAAAAGGAACUGUUAUGUGACAUUCAAGAUAAUUAAAAUCAAUUAUUCAAGACACUAUCAAGGGGUAGUAUUCUGUCUACACAACAAGAACAACAUUGCAACCAAAAACCUGCAGUUUCAGGCAGCCACAGCCCUGACUAUCAAACUGCAUUUUGAUACCUGUUUCCUGGAAUAUAUAUAGUAUAAUUCUUCUGAACGUCACUCGAUCCUGCAAGAAGCAGCACAGAGAAACACAUUAUUCCUCUCCACUGAAAUACCCCUGUUUAAAGAGCUGACAAACAUGAACCAGUAUUUACAGCAAACGCCAGGGCUGAGAAAGCAGCUGCUGAAGUGAUACCACAUCCACCACAACGCUGACUGCAACAGCUCCUGUUAACAGUACUUCUGGCAAGAACAAAUGAAAAAACAGGGAGCUGUAAGACCUGAUCCUUCUCAGACAACCACUUAGGGAUUCCAUUUUUAUUCUAUCUUUUACAAUUUUUCCGGGUUGAGUUUUGGGGGUUUUUUUGCCUGUUUGGUAAUACAUAUUUCAUGCUUCUGCAUCAAAUGAAGAAGUUUUGCUCUUCCUGCUGAAGCCAGUGAAAAUUGGCAGUUCCAGCACUUGUUAAGGCAGCUGCAGAACUAAGUCUGAUUGGAUUCCUCUCUACUUGAGCCACAGAUUUCAAACGUUGGAGAUUUACACUGCUCUCAGGUCAGGAACAGAGUACCAAACAGCAGCAGGCUUGUCCUCUCCACCUUCUCAGAUGCAAGAGCCAGCUUGCGGAAGGACCAACUCCCGGCUGAGCGCGUUCCGCAGGGAAACUGCGGCGUGCGCCGGGGGAGCCGAACGCCGAGCGGGCAGGACCGCCCGCGCUGCGCGCCGCGGACACGGGGAGGCGCUGCGGGGCCGGCACCGAGCGGAACCGAGCGGCACCGCACGG
Molecule: long non-coding RNA, 1150 nt
Organism: Passer domesticus (house sparrow)
Lineage: Eukaryota; Metazoa; Chordata; Aves; Passeriformes; Passeridae
Exons: 5
Source: RefSeq, a predicted model, not a curated record